CUCCGAGAGGGCAAGGUCUUGCCCAGAUGGACUCCUAGUUCUUCUGACUCCAGAGGCUGUGUUCUUCCCAUCACCACUUGUAGUUUUCUGGCCUUUGGGGCCUGCAGGGAAAUGCUCAGUCCCAGGCCCGCAGCUCACAACGGACCAGCUUCUGGCCUGGCCAGGAAGCCAUAGAUGGGGCAGUGUAGGCGCUCCCCGGGGGCAGAAGCGGGUAUAGACAGAUCUGAGACCCAGCUCAAAGGGCUAUAGUAGGCAAGAGCAGCGACAUGGGCAAGACCAGGGAUGUGAUGAGAAAAGGAGAGGAAUUAAUUUGUACGAACUCGCAGGGCCUAAGCCUGACAGUGCCUGGGAACCCAGCUCCAUCCCAGGUGCCCGUCUCCAGGGACAUGGGCCCUUGGGGGAGAUGCAAGCAGCUAAUAAGGCUAAGAAUGGAGGAAGGAGCCAGAAUUUGAGGAGCCAUCUCCCUCCCUCCCUGCAGCUUUCUCUCCUGUCUGCAGUUUAUUAGCACACACAAAGGCACGCAGUCACAAUACACAGGCUACACAACCACAUAUCCAGCCACAGACACAUGACCACACAAACACACAGUGCCACAAGCACACACAUACAAGGACUCACUCGCAUACAGUCUCUCACACACACACACACACACACACAGGGCUACAUGGGCACAGAGUCACACGACCACCUGCAGUUACCCUGACUUACAGACGUCCAGCUGGCUCGCAUCCAAGGGCAAUGUUGUACAGAACGUGUGUAUGUUUAUGCACUGGAAUCACACUCAGCGGCGAGCUGCUCGUGCAACCAGAUACCAGUUCUCAUCACAGGUUUGAAUUUUCCAUCUCACACUCACUGAGGGGCACGUGUUCAUCACAGGUGGACACUCACUACCACAUAAGGUUUCCAGUCUCUUUCUGGCCAAGACUGCAUAGUUGAAUUUGAGUGCUUUGAUGGAAUGCAUUCAGGACACAGCUGCAUCGUGCCUCAGCUCUCUGAAGCAGUUUCUUCUUCUGUAACAUGGGGCAAUAACAGUACUACAGUAUCAGGUUCUUGUGUAGAUCAGACAAUAUGUGUAGGAAUUUUAAAUUCCUGCCAGGUAAAU
RNAcentral lists this long non-coding RNA (1102 nucleotides) under Equus caballus (horse). Its description in RNAcentral is "lncRNA (ENSECAG00000054824.1)". The record is from RNAcentral. Lineage: Eukaryota; Metazoa; Chordata; Mammalia; Perissodactyla; Equidae.